Long non-coding RNA from Astatotilapia calliptera (eastern happy), 461 nucleotides. The record is from Ensembl. Lineage: Eukaryota; Metazoa; Chordata; Actinopteri; Cichliformes; Cichlidae.
GGGGAACGUGAGGAGAAAGGUCAGGAAGAACCAGCCUCAAGAUACCAUGGAGCUUUUAUAAAAGAGCAAGUACCUCAAGAACCAGGGAAUUCCAGACUACAGUAAGUAUUUACAUGGGAGUUUUUUAAUAUUUACUUUAUUGUUUCACUUGAACGCUUAUGGUAUAAUUUCAGUUAUAGAUCAUGAUGCAGCUGCUCAUCUCAUCAUCUGUAAAGGGGAGAUUCCACAUAUAUUUCUAAAGCAGUUCUACAAGAGAGUUGUGUUUGGGUGCAACAAACUUCACUGUCUAAGCCUUCCAUGUUCCCAGACCCUUGAAUAUUCCAUAAAACGUUGGUGUCUGAAAACAGUUGCUACGACUGUCAACUGAAAUUGUUCUUCAACCAACACCUUGUCUUUAUGGCCACAUUGCUAAAAGCAACCUGUCAGCAGCACAUCAGGAGCAGCUGCAGUGUCUACAUUGG